RNAcentral lists this non-coding RNA (25 nucleotides) under Mus musculus (house mouse). The record is from RNAcentral. Lineage: Eukaryota; Metazoa; Chordata; Mammalia; Rodentia; Muridae.
UACCCAAAUCAGGACCGGAGGGCAC